This 407-nucleotide ribosomal RNA is filed under the name uncultured bacterium. RNAcentral describes it as "partial 16S ribosomal RNA". It matches the Rfam family "Bacterial small subunit ribosomal RNA", at positions 355 to 774 of the family's 1533-position model. The record is from RNAcentral.
UGGGGAAUAUUGCACAAUGGGCGGAAGCCUGAUGCAGCAACGCCGCGUGCGGGAUGACGGCCUUCGGGUUGUAAACCGCUUUCGCCUGUGACGAAGCGUGAGUGACGGUAAUGGGUAAAGAAGCACCGGCUAACUACGUGCCAGCAGCCGCGGUGAUACGUAGGGUGCGAGCGUUGUCCGGCUUUAUUGGGCGUAAAGGGCUCGUAGGUGGUUGAUCGCGUCGGAAGUGUAAUCUUGGGGCUUAACCCUGAGCGUGCUUUCGAUACGGGUUGACUUGAGGAAGGUAGGGGAGAAUGGAAUUCCUGGUGGAGCGGUGGAAUGCGCAGAUAUCAGGAGGAACACCAGUGGCGAAGGCGGUUCUCUGGGCCUUUCCUGACGCUGAGGAGCGAAAGCGUGGGGAGCGAACA